RNAcentral lists this ribosomal RNA (404 nucleotides) under uncultured bacterium. RNAcentral describes it as "bacterial SSU rRNA". It matches the Rfam family "Bacterial small subunit ribosomal RNA", at positions 355 to 776 of the family's 1533-position model. The record is from RNAcentral.
UGGGGAAUAUUGGACAAUGGGGGAAACCCUGAUCCAGCAAUGCCGCGUGGGUGAUGAAGGCCUUCGGGUUGUAAAGCCCUUUUGGCAGGGACGAUGAUGACGGUACCUGCAGAAUAAGCCCCGGCUAACUUCGUGCCAGCAGCCGCGGUAAUACGAAGGGGGCUAGCGUUGUUCGGAAUUACUGGGCGUAAAGGGCGCGUAGGCGGCUUCGAUAGUCAGGCGUGAAAUCCCCAGGCUCAACUUGGGAAUUGCGCUUGAUACUGCGAGGCUUGAGUGAGGGAGAGGAUAGUGGAAUUCCCAGUGUAGAGGUGAAAUUCGUAGAUAUUGGGAAGAACACCAGUGGCGAAGGCGGCUAUCUGGACCUCAACUGACGCUGAGGCGCGAAAGCGUGGGGAGCAAACAGG